Molecule: non-coding RNA, 100 nt
Filed under: bacterium 42
Lineage: Bacteria
Description: Bacterium 42 THF-I sequence
Rfam family: THF (Tetrahydrofolate) riboswitch aptamer
About the family: THF riboswitch presents a pseudoknot that joins P1-P2 and the loop of P3 and two THF binding.
Source: RNAcentral
GGCAGAGUAGGCAUCACACGUUAAGUGCCAAGGGAUGGGAUGUUGCCCUUGGACGAACGGUGAACCAUAUCACCGGCGCUGUGAUGCCGCAUCCGCUGCC